UACGGAGGGUGCAAGCGUUGUUCGGAAUUAUUGGGCGUAAAGGGCGCGUAGGCGGUGCGGUAAGUCUGUAGUGAAAUCUCUGGGCUCAACUCAGAGUCUGCUAUAGAAACUGCCGUGCUCGAGUGUGGGAGAGGGAAGCGGAAUUCCCGGUGUAGUGGUGAAAUGCGUAGAUAUCGGGAGGAACACCAGUGGCGAAGGCGGCUUCCUGGCCUGUUCUUGACGCUGAGGCGCGAAAGCUAGGGGAGCAAACGGG
Molecule: ribosomal RNA, 253 nt
Filed under: uncultured bacterium
Lineage: Bacteria
Description: partial 16S ribosomal RNA
Rfam family: Bacterial small subunit ribosomal RNA
Source: RNAcentral